GACGGAGGGUGCAAGCGUUAAUCGGAAUUAUUGGGCGUAAAGGGCGCGUAGGCGGUUUUGUAAGUAGGCUGUGAAAUCCUUGGGCUUAACCCAAGAACUGCAGUCUAGACUGCAUGACUAGAGAUCAGUGGAGGGAGGUGGAAUUCCUGGUGUAGCAGUGAAAUGCGUAGAGAUCAGGAAGAACACCAGUGGCGAAGGCGGCCUCCUGGGCUGCAUCUGACGCUGAGGCGCGAAAGCGUGGGGAGCAAACAGG
Molecule: ribosomal RNA, 253 nt
Filed under: uncultured bacterium
Lineage: Bacteria
Description: partial 16S ribosomal RNA
Rfam family: Bacterial small subunit ribosomal RNA
Source: RNAcentral